Molecule: small nuclear RNA, 102 nt
Organism: Manis pentadactyla (Chinese pangolin)
Lineage: Eukaryota; Metazoa; Chordata; Mammalia; Pholidota; Manidae
Source: RefSeq, a predicted model, not a curated record
GUGCUUGCUUUGGCAGCACAUAUACUAAAUUGAAACGAUACAGAGAAGAUGAACAUGGGCCCUGUGCAAGGAUGACAUGCAAAUUUAUGAAUCCAUAUUUUU